CGCCCUACAAUGCAAGUCGAACGGGGUGGGGCAAAACACUGUGUGUUUUGCGGAAUGUAGAAUGUAAAAUGUAAAAUGUAGAAUGAAGAACGGGAAGAGGCCGCAAUUCUACAUUCUAAAUUCUCAAUUCUAAAUUUCAGAGAGAACACNGAGUGUUUUGCUUCNCCUAGUGGCGGACGGGUGAGUAACACGUGAGCAACCUGCCGAAGAGUGGGGGAUAACGUCUGGAAACGGACGCUAAUACCGCAUAACAUAAAGGGAUGGCAUCAUCUCUUUAUCAAAGGAGCAAUCCGCUUUUUGAUGGGCUCGCGGCCGAUUAGGUAGUUGGAGUGGUAAAGGCACACCAAGCCGACGAUCGGUAGCCGGACUGAGAGGUUGAACGGCCACAUUGGGAUUGAGACACGGCCCAGACUCCUACGGGAGGCAGCAGUGGGGGAUAUUGCACAAUGGGGGAAACCCUGAUGCAGCGACGCCGCGUGAGUGAAGACGGUCUUCGGAUUGUAAAGCUCUGUUGCAGAGGACGAACACAAUGACGGUACUCUGUGAGGAAGCCACGGCUAACUACGUGCCAGCAGCCGCGGUAAUACGUAGGUGGCAAGCGUUGUCCGGAAUUACUGGGUGUAAAGGGAGCGUAGGCGGGCAAUCAAGUUGGGUGUGAAAUACCGCGGCUCAACCGCGGGGCUGCAUCCAAAACUGAAUGUCUUGAGUGAUGUAGAGGCAGGCGGAAUUCCUAGUGUAGCGGUGAAAUGCGUAGAUAUUAGGAGGAGCACCCNGUGGCGAAGGCGGCCCUGCUGGGCCAUUAACUGACCCCUGAGGCUCNAAAGCGUGGGGAGCCAACAGGGAUUAGAUACCCCUGGUAGUCCCCCCCCNUAAACCCAUGAUUACUAGGUGUGGGGGGGGACUGAACCCCCUUCCNUGGCCCGGA
Molecule: ribosomal RNA, 925 nt
Filed under: uncultured bacterium
Lineage: Bacteria
Description: bacterial SSU rRNA
Rfam family: Bacterial small subunit ribosomal RNA
Source: RNAcentral